This 858-nucleotide ribosomal RNA is filed under the name Fusarium redolens. RNAcentral describes it as "SSU rRNA". It matches the Rfam family "Eukaryotic small subunit ribosomal RNA", at positions 106 to 972 of the family's 1831-position model. The record is from RNAcentral. Lineage: Eukaryota; Fungi; Ascomycota; Sordariomycetes; Hypocreales; Nectriaceae.
AUUGUUAUCGUUAUUUGAUAGUACCUUACUACUUGGAUAACCGUGGUAAUUCUAGAGCUAAUACAUGCUAAAAAUCCCGACUUCGGAAGGGAUGUAUUUAUUAGAUUAAAAACCAAUGCCCUUCGGGGCUCACUGGUGAUUCAUGAUAACUCCUCGAAUCGCAUGGCCUUGUGCCGGCGAUGGUUCAUUCAAAUUUCUUCCCUAUCAACUUUCGAUGUUUGGGUAUUGGCCAAACAUGGUUGCAACGGGUAACGGAGGGUUAGGGCUCGACCCCGGAGAAGGAGCCUGAGAAACGGCUACUACAUCCAAGGAAGGCAGCAGGCGCGCAAAUUACCCAAUCCCGACACGGGGAGGUAGUGACAAUAAAUACUGAUACAGGGCUCUUUUGGGUCUUGUAAUUGGAAUGAGUACAAUUUAAAUCCCUUAACGAGGAACAAUUGGAGGGCAAGUCUGGUGCCAGCAGCCGCGGUAAUUCCAGCUCCAAUAGCGUAUAUUAAAGUUGUUGUGGUUAAAAAGCUCGUAGUUGAACCUUGGGCCUGGCUGGCCGGUCCGCCUCACCGCGUGUACUGGUCCGGCCGGGCCUUUCCCUCUGUGGAACCCCAUGCCCUUCACUGGGUGUGGCGGGGAAACAGGACUUUUACUGUGAAAAAAUUAGAGUGCUCCAGGCAGGCCUAUGCUCGAAUACAUUAGCAUGGAAUAAUAGAAUAGGACGUGUGGUUCUAUUUUGUUGGUUUCUAGGACCGCCGUAAUGAUUAAUAGGGGACAGUCGGGGGCAUCAGUAUUCAAUUGUCAGAGGUGAAAUUCUUGGAUUUAUUGAAGACUAACUACUGCGAAAGCAUGCCCCCAGGGAUGACCUAA